This 449-nucleotide ribosomal RNA is filed under the name uncultured bacterium. RNAcentral describes it as "partial 16S ribosomal RNA". It matches the Rfam family "Bacterial small subunit ribosomal RNA", at positions 338 to 795 of the family's 1533-position model. The record is from RNAcentral.
CCUACGGGGGGCUGCAGUGGGGAAUAUUGGACAAUGGGGGCAACCCUGAUCCAGCCAUGCCGCGUGUGUGAAGAAGGCCUUCGGGUUGUAAAGCACUUUAAGCAGGGAGGAAGGCUCGUUGGUUAAUAACCAGCGGGAGUGACGUUACCUGCAGAAUAAGCACCGGCAAACUCCGUGCCAGCAGCCGCGGUAAUACGGAGGGUGCGAGCGUUAAUAGGAAUUACUGGGCGUAAAUCUUAAGUCGGCUGUGACAUCCCCGGGCUCAACCUGGGUGCUGCAUUCGAUAGUGGCAGACUUGAAUACGGUAGAGGGGGGUGGAAUUCCAGGUGUAGCGGUGAAAUGCGUAGAGAUCUGGAGGAACACCAGUGGCGAAGGCGGCCCCCUGGACCGAUAUUGACGCUGAGGUACGAAAGCGUGGGGAGCAAACAGGAUUAGAUACCCGGGUAGUC